This is a transfer RNA of Felis catus (domestic cat), 85 nucleotides long. It matches the Rfam family "tRNA". Rfam says of the family: Transfer RNA (tRNA) molecules are approximately 80 nucleotides in length. Their secondary structure includes four short double-helical elements and three loops (D, anti-codon, and T loops). NCBI's taxonomy places the organism in Eukaryota, Metazoa, Chordata, Mammalia, Carnivora, Felidae. The record is from Rfam.
GCCUGGGUGGCUCAGUCGGUUAAGCGUCUGACUUUGGCUCAGGUCAUGAUCUCACAGUUUGUGGGUUUGAGCCCCAUGUCGGGCU